Molecule: RNA transcript, 3568 nt
Organism: Ipomoea triloba (trilobed morning glory)
Lineage: Eukaryota; Viridiplantae; Streptophyta; Magnoliopsida; Solanales; Convolvulaceae
Gene name: cyclic dof factor 2-like
Exons: 4
Source: RefSeq, a predicted model, not a curated record
UUUGUGGCUCACAAUCCCUUUUCCUCGCUGACGUGUCCUCCCCUACCCACCUUCUUCUUUAAACUCCUCUCUCCCACCCCAUAUAUUUCCUUCACUUUGCGUCAGAUCUCCUUGACACAACACCCAAAUCAUCGGAUUAUACUCUUAGGUUUUUGGCCUUUUGUUGUGAUUCUGAGUUUUUGAGGCUGGGAAAGUGGAACUGUAAUGCCGGAAGUGAGCAAAGACCCCGCGAUAAAGCUGUUUGGGAAGACUAUCCAGUUGCCGGAUGCUCCGGCGCCGGCGCCGCCGACGGAGAUGGAUGUUGACCCCGGCGGGGGAGCAGCUUCAUCUCCUCCACCUGCUGAUGAAUUCUCAGCUAAAGAUAGUUCUUGUUCAGAAGCUGAUGGCGGAGAGGAUGAACAACUCCAAAAGAAUGAGAAUGGAGAAAGUGAAGAGGAUGAAGGAACAGUGUUAUUGGAAGGGGAAGAGAUUAUGGAUGAGAGUGUAGAUGAAAUGAGGGAUGGCUUAAAAGCACCACCUGUUGAUGAAGAUGGUGGUGGAGCAACUGAAAUUUCAACAACUGAGGAAGAGGGGAAAAUGAGUAAUGGAAAAGAUAAGACUCUGAAAAAACCAGACAAGAUAAUUCCAUGUCCUAGGUGUGAUAGUAUGGACACAAAGUUCUGUUAUUUCAACAACUACAACGUGAACCAGCCGCGCCACUUCUGCAAGAAAUGCCAGAGAUAUUGGACGUCGGGUGGGAUGACGAGGAAUUUGCCUGUGGGUGCUGGGCGCAGAAAAAGUAAGAACUCGGCUGCUCAUUAUCACCAUUUGAAUGCUGUGAAGUCGUUUCAGAGUGCUCGUGUAGAUCAUCCCGAGAGAAUCCAACACCAUGCUCUUAAGGCCAAUGGCAAGGUUCUCACGUUGGCCUCUGAUUCGCCCCUCUGUGACUCUGUGGCCUCAGCGUUGAACAUUGCAGAGAAAACUGCAGGGAAUGGGUUUUACAAGCCAGUAGAGUUAGGAAUCCCGGUUUCAUAUGGAGCUGGGGAUAAUGGAGCUGACCAUUCAAGUGGUUCCUCAUCACUCACUGCUGCAAGUACAAAGGAUGAUGUUUGCAAAAAUGGGUUGCCCGACAUGCUAAGACAGAACUACCAUGGCUUCGCUCCUCAGUUACCAUGCUUUCCAGGUCCUCCUUGGCCAUAUCCAUCCAAUGCUGUUCAGUGGAGCUCUGCAGUUCCUCCACCCGGUUGCUUUUCUCCCGGCUUUCCCAUGCCAUUUUACCCCCCGGCAAUGUAUUUGGGUUAUACCAUUCCAUGCUCUUGGAAUUCCCCUUGGGUGAACAGACCUGUUGUGCCCCAACAGCACACGUCUUCUGGCCCUAAUUCUCCAACCUUAGGGAAGCACUCAAGGGAUGACACCGUGGUGAAACCAGCCAACAGCAAGGAAGGUGAGCCACCCAAAGAUAGUAAUCCAGAGAAGUGUCUGUGGGUUCCUAAAACUUUGCGGUUUGAUGAUCCAGAAGACGCUGCAAAGAGUUCCAUAUGGGCGACGCUGGGAAUAAAACAUGAUAGAGUUGAUUCGAUUAGGGGUGGCGCUUUUAAGGCCUUCAAGUUGAAGGAUGACGAGAAGAGUCAUGCUUCAAAGAACUGUAGAGUAUUAGAAGCCAAUCCAGCUGCAUUAUCCAGGUCAUUGAACUUCCACGAGAGCUCAUAAGCAGGGAACCUGGACUUAGCAAUAUGCUGAUUGCAGUGGCAAUUCCUUGUGGCUGAUCAUUCUUGCAACAGAAUUCUAAUCGGCGAGCAAUCUUGGGUUAUGACUUUACGAUCAUAUAAUAUUUUCUCGAAGAUCAGACAACUAGAUGCGGAUUUCCAACUUUUUGUUCUGAGAAAGGAGAGGUUCUAUUCCAUAGGGGAUAUAAUCAAAAAGGUUUCACCGCAUGGUCUCUUGCAACAUAUUCAUUUGCCAUAUAUACUCCCAGAUGAGCAGAGGAUUGGCUUGUUGGCAGCAACCGGAGGAUGCCCGAGGUUGGGCAGAGACGCGGAGGAGCCACAACGAAGGUUUUAUCACGGUAAAAUGGUUCAAUUUGACUUCUAUCUAUCAAGGAAAAAUCAUCAUUUUUUAGAUACAAGAAAUAUUGAUCGAACAAAUUUGGACUAAAAAAACCAUUUGACUUCUAUCUAUCUAGGAAAAAUCAUCAUUUUUUAGAUACAAGAAACAUUGAUCGAACAAAUUUGGACUAAAAACAGGUAACACCGGAAAUGUAUAGUAGCCUAAGAUGCACCUCUCAUAGAGACAUGUUUGAUAUCAAGCUAAACAUUGUGUGAUUUUGUUACUCAACACAUCAGAAAAGUUUUGCCUUAGUAUGAAAUUAAUGAUGCUUUAUUAGCUUCUUCUGGCGUAACAUGGAACCUACUUUGAGCUUUGAGUAUGGAUCAGAAAACUUAUUUUCUAAACCCGUAGGAGUAAUAUAACAUACACACGAGGAGGCAAUAUUGUAUGUAACAUUGGGAUUGAGAACUAAAAGUCAACAGUUUCAUAAAUAGUUGUUGCUUUUCUUGCUAAAAAAAUAUGAUAUUUGAGUGUGUCUGUAAGCUGUCCAGCCUGUAGUUAGAUAUUUUAGCUGUUUAAUAAGCACUUCCACCUCUGUCUUCCCUAAUAUUCUGAUGGGGCAGAUAGAAAGGUUACAGACUUACAGUGUAAUCUCAGUUUGAUUAAAGAAAUCCCCAUCAACCGACCAAAUUUAAUCCCGGAUUUUUUAAUGUGUAAAUUAAUGGAAGAAAGAACCCUGAUCUGAUUUGUUAUAGACAUGCAUUAGUUCUUGGGAAAGCACACCAGAAACCAGAACUCUCUGGUCUGUACUUCCCAGAAGUUUACAAAAGCCAAGUAAAGUAACCUCUCACCCACUUCCAAGAAUUCCAAGAAUUCCAAGAAAAUCAUUCAUGGGGAGACCCUUUAUGCUUUGGGUUCUUUUUGUGGCAGCUUUUCUUAUGAUCUCUUUCUCUCCUGGUAAUUCUCUUCUUCGUCUUCUUCCAUUUUCCGAUUUUGACAGUAAUUGCAGUUUGCUUAUUAAGGAACAGAUCUUAGUAUAUUAUACCUCUGUUUACCAUCUGUGUUAGGAUUUGGAAGGAAGAUGAUGGGGCCAUUGGAUCAUGCAAACUCUGCUGCUGUUUCAUUUCAGGAGAAAUGGGUAGUGUAUCAGAGAGAUUAUGAGCAAGCUGGGCCGAACGUCCACUCCCAACCUGCUCUUCUUUCUCCUCCUCCUCCUUCGUCUCCUCCUCUGGCAUCACCGCCAUCACUGCAAUACUAAACCAUUCCCAAGCGUAGUAUGUUGUUGUCUGAUAAGGAGUUACUGUUUUGUUUCUGGUCUGUAAUGUGCAGUCUGCAACUGAAUAGAUAGACAUGUUUAUGUUAAGUGUGAAGGAUGAGAUGGUGAACAUGUUCCAGAUCUGUUAGGCUUUAUAUUGUAUGGCAAUUAUUGUCAAGAAUUACUUGCUUACAUUGUGAUGUCUUGUAAAGAAUAAAACUUUCAGUUGUUGUACCCAAAUGAACCAAGCCCACAAGGCCCAACAAUAAAUCUCUCUUAUUUUAUGUA